This 117-nucleotide ribosomal RNA is filed under the name Pteropus alecto (black flying fox). Lineage: Eukaryota; Metazoa; Chordata; Mammalia; Chiroptera; Pteropodidae. The record is from RNAcentral.
GUCUACGGCCAUGCUACCCUGAACAAGCCCAAUCCCAUCUGAUCUCAAAAGCUAAGCAGGGUCGGGCCUGGUUAGUACUUGGAUGGGACCACCUAGGAAGGCCAGGUUCUGUAGCAU